ACUCGCCAUUCUCGACUCCUUUGGCAGAUUAUUUUUUGUUUUUCUUCUUAUUAUUCCUAUAAAUUAUGGGGAUUAAAUCUAUUCAUGAAUAAUCCGUAGCUUAGCAAAAUGAUUUUUGAGAUGCCUGUGAAAAAUAAAUCAAUGUGAAUCAUUUUGAAAUUAACGGCCAUAAGAAAUCGAGAAUACUCAAAUUAAUUCUAUGAAAUUUUAAGAUAUCAUUGUCAAUAAGCUUAAUUAACUUAUAUUUUAAUUUGUGUGGUAAUGUCGGUUCAAAGUGGCCAGAAAUAUAG
This 290-nucleotide long non-coding RNA is filed under the name Solanum tuberosum (potato). RNAcentral's name for it is "long non-coding RNA (STUB_LNC010356)". The record is from RNAcentral. Lineage: Eukaryota; Viridiplantae; Streptophyta; Magnoliopsida; Solanales; Solanaceae.